Molecule: ribosomal RNA, 1234 nt
Filed under: Semblis atrata
Lineage: Eukaryota; Metazoa; Arthropoda; Insecta; Trichoptera; Phryganeidae
Description: 16S ribosomal RNA
Source: RNAcentral
AAAAUUAUCUUAAAGUUUUAAGUUAAAUAUUUUAAAUUAAUUAAAAUAAUAAUAAUAAUAAAUAUUUUUAGUAUAAUAAAGAAAAAAAAAUUUUUUUAUAGUAAAAUAGUAUAGUAAUAGAAAGAUGAAAUAUAUGAAAAUUUUAUUAAUAAAAAGUAAAUUUCAAUUAUUGUAUCUUGUGUAUCAGAGAAUAUUAACAAAAAAUUAUUUAAAUAAUUUUUUCGAAAUUUAAAGAGUUAAUUGGUUAUUUUAGUUAUUGUAAAAAAAAUAUUAAUUAUAAUUAAUUAGAAAUGAAAUGUUAAUCGUUUUAAAUGAUAUCUAAUUUUUUAAGAAAUAAAUUUAAUUUAGUUAUUUAAUUAAUAAAUUAUUUUAUAAAUAAAUAAUUUUUAGUUUAAAUAAUUAUAUUAAAGGGGAUAAGCUUUUUAUAUUGAAAUUAAUAAAUGUUUAUUAAAAAUUUUAUUUAAAUUUUAAAAAUAAAGAUAUAAUGAUAUUAUUAGUAUAUAAUUUAAUAUAUAAUAUAUUAAAUAUUGUUAAGUUAAUUUUAAGAAUUCGGCAAAAAUAUAUAUUCGCUUGUUUAACAAAAACAUGUCUUUUUGAGUUUUAAUUUAAAGUCUAAUCUGCCCACUGAAUUAAAUUUUAAAGGGCUGCGGUAAUUUAACCGUACAAAGGUAGCAUAAUAAAUAGUUUUUUAAUUGAGGACUGGAAUGAAUGAUUGGACGAGAUAUAAGCUGUUUUAAAUUAAUUAAAAUAAAAUUUAAUUUUUUAGUUAAAAAGCUAAAAUAAUUUUAAAAGACGAGAAGACCCUAUAAAUCUUUAUAAGAAUUGAUUUAAUUUAAUUUAUUUAUUAUUUAUAAUUUUAGUUUAAAACUUAUUUUAUUGGGGUGAUAUAAAAAUUUAAUAAACUUUUUAUUUAAAAUGAUUUAAAUUAAAAGAAAAAAAAUGAUCUAUUUUAAUAAUUAAAAGAAUAAGAUACUUUAGGGAUAACAGCGUAAUUUUAAUUUUAAGUUCUUAUUAAAAUUAAAGAUUGCGACCUCGAUGUUGGAUUAAAAUUUAUUUUAAAUGUAACCGUUUAAAUAUUUAGUCUGUUCGACUAUUAAAAUUUUACAUGAUCUGAGUUCAAACCGGUGUAAGCCAGGUUGGUUUCUAUCUUUAAAUAGUAAAAAAUUUUUUAGUACGAAAGGAUCAAAAAUUUUAAAUAAAUUUAAUAAAAUUGAAUUAGUUUAAUAAAAUUUUA